Molecule: ribosomal RNA, 373 nt
Filed under: uncultured organism
Description: partial 16S ribosomal RNA
Rfam family: Bacterial small subunit ribosomal RNA
Source: RNAcentral
GUAGGCGGCAAGCGUUGUCCGGAAUUAUUGGGCGUAAAGCGCGCGCAGGCGGUUCUUUAAGUCUGAUGUGAAAGCCCACGGCUCAACCGUGGAGGGUCAUUGGAAACUGGAGAACUUGAGUACAGAAGAGGAAAGCGGAAUUCCACGUGUAGCGGUGAAAUGCGUAGAGAUGUGGAGGAACACCAGUGGCGAAGGCGGCUUUCUGGUCUGUAACUGACGCUGAGGCGCGAAAGCGUGGGGAGCAAACAGGGAUUAGAUACCCUGGUAGUCCACGCCGUAAACGAUGAGUGCUAAGUGUUAGGGGGUUUCCCGCCCCUUAGUGCUGCAGCUAACGCAUUAAGCACUCCGCCUGGGGAGUACGGCCGCAAGGCUG